This 307-nucleotide ribosomal RNA is filed under the name uncultured bacterium. Its description in RNAcentral is "bacterial SSU rRNA". It matches the Rfam family "Bacterial small subunit ribosomal RNA", at positions 28 to 330 of the family's 1533-position model. The record is from RNAcentral.
GAUGAACGCUAGCGGCAGGCUUAAUACAUGCAAGUCGAGGGGCAGCAGGGUGUAGCAAUACAUCGCUGGCGACCGGCAAACGGGUGCGGAACACGUACGCAACCUUCCUUCAAGUGGGGAAUAGCCCAGGGAAACUUGGAUUAAUACCUCGUAACAUUGUGAGAUGGCAUCAUUUUACAAUUAUAGUUCCGACGCUUGAAGAUGGGCGUGCGCCUGAUUAGGUAGNGGUCGGGUAACGGCCCACCAAGCCUUCGAUCAGUAACUGGCGUGAGAGCACGACCAGUCACACGGGCACUGAGACACCGGG